UUCAAAAGUGCAAGGGCUUUUUCUGCACUAUAUUAAAGCUCCACUCUUCUCCCAUGUCAAGCCCGGAGAACCCUAGUUUUCACUUGGCCGCCGCACCCCUUUACUGCUAUUAGCAUAGUAAUACUGGUAUGUGAAUGCCCCGUUGUUAUCCUUAUGAUUAUUUUGUUUUUUCUUACCGUUUACUUGUUGAGUUAUUUUAUUGUUUUCAUUAUGCAGGGUUGCUAACUUGCUAUGUUGAGUGUUUGAUUGUCUGUUAAGGCUGCUAAAAUGUUCUCGUGUUAUCAUAUAUAAAUUUUUCUGUGCAAAUUUAAGCCAAAUCUGGUUGUGCUAGCCACAAACUUUUUUAUCAUUUCUUAAGAUUUGUUGAACUCCAAAUUGCGUUGAUAUAUCGAAUAUUUUGAUCCUUUUUGUAAAAGUUGGAGUGUUUUUUUAAAAUAUAUGUAAUACAUUUUUCAGGAACUUGCUUUCUUUAUUUUUCAGCAUUUUACAUGGUUGUGGGUUGCAGAGGUUUUUGUGUGAAACACGGGAGGCGAGUAUACAUGCUCUUUUGAUGGAAUCAAUUAUCAAAUAAGGGCAACAGCAGUUUGAUAUUUAAUGAACGCUUUAUGUUUCAAAUAAAACCUUCUGCGAUCCAUAACCAUGUUAAUUUUGGGACUAGAAUUUUCUUGUCCUCAAGUGUUGUAGAAUAAGAAAGCAAGGUUUCAGAUGUUUGUAUAAUAUUUGCAGCGUAGUUGAAGUAUAAGAUCCAUGCAUUGUUCGGAUUAACUACGAUGUAUCAAGC
This 781-nucleotide long non-coding RNA is filed under the name Nicotiana tabacum (common tobacco). RNAcentral's name for it is "long non-coding RNA (NTAB_LNC008255)". The record is from RNAcentral. Lineage: Eukaryota; Viridiplantae; Streptophyta; Magnoliopsida; Solanales; Solanaceae.